AGUUUGGUGCCUGAAGAAAAGGAUUAUCUCGAUACGGUAAAUUAUGCAAUAGUUUUGCCCAAACUA
This is a non-coding RNA of Daphnia carinata, 66 nucleotides long. The record is from the annotation of a RefSeq genome assembly. Lineage: Eukaryota; Metazoa; Arthropoda; Branchiopoda; Diplostraca; Daphniidae.